This 900-nucleotide ribosomal RNA is filed under the name Paenibacillus odorifer. RNAcentral's name for it is "partial 16S ribosomal RNA". It matches the Rfam family "Bacterial small subunit ribosomal RNA", at positions 301 to 1170 of the family's 1533-position model. The record is from RNAcentral. Lineage: Bacteria; Bacillati; Bacillota; Bacilli; Caryophanales; Paenibacillaceae.
GAACSGCCCACACUGGGGAYUGAGMCACGSCCCAGAYUCYUACGGGRRGCAGCAGUAGGGAAUCUUCCGCAAUGGGCGAAAGCCUGACGGAGCAACGCCGCGUGAGUGAUGAAGGUUUUCGGAUCGUAAAGCUCUGUUGCCAGGGAAGAACGUCCGGUAGAGUAACUGYUACCGGAGUGACGGUACCUGAGAAGAAAGCCCCGGCUAACUACGUGCCAGCAGCCGCGGUAAUACGUAGGGGGCAAGCGUUGUCCGGAAUUAUUGGGCGUAAAGCGCGCGCAGGCGGCUAUUUAAGUCUGGUGUUUAAACCUUGGGCUCAACCUGAGGUCGCACUGGAAACUGGGUGGCUUGAGUACAGAAGAGGAAAGUGGAAUUCCACGUGUAGCGGUGAAAUGCGUAGAUAUGUGGAGGAACACCAGUGGCGAAGGCGACUUUCUGGGCUGUAACUGACGCUGAGGCGCGAAAGCGUGGGGAGCAAACAGGAUUAGAUACCCUGGUAGUCCACGCCGUAAACGAUGAGUGCUAGGUGUUUAAGGGGUUUCGAUACCCUUGGKGGCCGAAGUUAACACAGUAAGCACUCCGCCUGGGGGAGUACGGUCGCAAGACUGAAACUCAAAGGGAAUUGACGGGGACCCGCACAAGCAGUGGARAUAUGUGGGUUUAAUUCGAAGCAACGCGAAGAACCUUACCAGGUCUUGACAUCCCUCUGAAUCUGCUARARAAUAGCAGCGGCCUUCGGGACAGARGAAGACAAGGKGGUGGCAUGGGUUGUCGUCASCUCSUGKCSUGAGAWGGUUGGGGUUAARUCCCSCMACSAAGSGCAACCCUUUAAMUUWAKUUGCCASCAAGGUAAWGSUGGGSRCCUCCUAKAAGUGRCUGGCCGGUGRMAAACCRCGARGA